Molecule: small RNA, 700 nt
Filed under: Arabidopsis thaliana (thale cress)
Lineage: Eukaryota; Viridiplantae; Streptophyta; Magnoliopsida; Brassicales; Brassicaceae
Description: ATSL278790
Source: RNAcentral
AUAUAGUUUCCUUUGAAAAUCAACAAAAUCUUAGCCACUAUAUCGAUUCCUAUCACCAUAUCUCGCUGUUAUAAUAUUUCUCAUCACUAUAUUCCGGUUAACAAGUAAUAUUCCUUGAGCUACAAUUUUUUUAAAUAAUCUUCUUUCUAUCAAAUAAUCUAUCUUAAACAAUUAACUACUAACUGAUUUAAUUAGAUCUUCAAUCUAUUGAAUUCACCCAUCAGUAUUAUAAAUAAGCAGAUAACCAUCAUGAUGUCUGUACCUUCUCACAUACACACCUAUCAAAAACUUAAAACCUUUCAAAACCUCUUGGUAUAUUCAUAUUAGGAUUCUUCAUUCAUGGAAUCAUUAUUCCAAGGGUUUUGGGAUGUCUUAUGAAAUAAUUUUGGCAGAAGAGUAUGUAAAAUUUUUUGAAUAAAAAGUAGUCAGCAAAACUUUUCUUUUUUUGGACUUUUUAGAUAAUUAAUUUAGAGAAUAGGGUUGGGCAUAUGAUUAACCCAUUCGAGUUCGGGUAGAACCCGUUCGAGUUUGGGAUUAAUGGGUAUUGGAUUUACUACUUAAUACGGUAAUUCUAAAUAUUCGGUUCGGUCGGGUCCAGUCGGUUUUCAGUCAGUUUGGAUAAAAAGUUUCAGGCCAUAAAAAUACCCAAAAAAAUAGAAACGGGUAUUUUGUAUGUAGAUAGCGGAUCCCCAAACAAAAA